This 820-nucleotide long non-coding RNA is filed under the name Salvia miltiorrhiza (redroot sage). Its description in RNAcentral is "long non-coding RNA (SMIL_LNC004643)". Lineage: Eukaryota; Viridiplantae; Streptophyta; Magnoliopsida; Lamiales; Lamiaceae. The record is from RNAcentral.
UAUCGAUCAAGUAUGCAUAUGUGGUUCGCUAUAUCUUUCUGUAAUAUUUCUCAUCCUAUGUUUCGAAUUUCUUUUAUAUGAAGUGAGGGAAGUGAAAUGCAUAUAUGAAGAUAGUGAACUGAAAAUAGCAUGAAUACUUGAAUGGUUUGUUGGUUGGUUAUGUUUGAAUGAACUGAUUCUUGAAAAUGCUUUGGCAGAGAAUGAUGAAGAGCAGUGCAGUCUUUCCUCUUUUUGCUAGGAACGUUUGUGGAAUGGGAAUGAGGAGAUUAUGCUUGGUUGAUGUUCUGUAUGAAUGGUGAUUUUGCUUCGUUUAAAAUCCUUUGCAGCUGCUAAGGAUUUUAGGUAAGUGAGGAUGCCUUUUAUAGGGAGUAAAUACUGAAGCUGAUAGUGUGAAAAUAUGGUGAAUAGUGCGGCUAAAUUGAGGCGUGGUUGAAGAAUUUAAUUGAUGAGAUUUUCUGCUGACAAUUGAGAUUUGUCUGUUGAAUAUUUUCUUUGACUAUGUAGGAGUGAAAUAAAAACUAAGCACGGGUGAGAAUAGAGUGGCUGAGGUGGACUUGAAGUGUUGGAUGGGUGGCUGGGCACUGUAGCGACACUGUUGAGUACUGGAGCAGCACUGUAGCAACACUUUAGCAGCAGUUGUCAUUAAUCACCAAACGUCCCCUUUUCUUCUUUUCUCCUUUAUCUAUCUUUUCCUUAAAUUAGGGUGUUGGCAGAUGGUAGGUGUAGGAAAAUAUUAUUGGAAUGAUUGAUGUGUAUCUAUAAUAAAUCUCUCAUUGGUUCUGUAUUAGAACUUUGGUAUCGAGUUUUUCUAAUGUCGAGC